AUGCUUAAACCUUCUCUUCCCUUUCUAUUCAAUUUCCUUCCUCUCUCCGCCUCCAGAUUCGUUCUCCUCUCACGGGCUUCCAUUUUUUUCCAAGCUGGCUUCUCACACGGGUUGAUGGAACACUACCUGCCAGACCGCUGCUCCUUUAAUACUGCGGGGAUUUGCAGAAUCGGGCGUCCAGAAAGGACUGACUCUGACGCAAGGGGCGAGAGCAAAGGACGGAACUUCCCCGCCAACCUUCGCCUUUGACACAGAGAACCCCUAGCGCCAACGCUCGGUACUCUCCGGCUCAUUCCUGGACCAAAUCAACGCGUGACCGCCGCCGAGGAGGAACCGCGCGCACUUUAAGUGACCGCGGUGUCUGGCUUUGGAGCGCUGUGGAAGGCCCCGGAGGAGUGUGCAACAGCAAGGGGGCGAGGGGAGGGGAAGAAGAAGAGGGACGACGGCUGUGCAUCCGUGUUUGAGGAGCUAGGGUUGGUGGGAUGUUUGUUUUGCUAAAUAAAUAAGAAGAAAUUACCCCUCUCCCCAUCCUGGAUCUAAUGAUGAUAGAUUCCACCCUGCUUCAGGCCACACGCCGGGGAGCCUAACCACGGAAAAUAAUGAGGCUACAUCCCCAUUCGUCUGCAUUAAAGGCGAGCCAGGCACUUUCGAUAGCAAAUAUAUCGAUUCCCUUGCUCGGCCCGUGGUUUCUCCUGCUCUCCGUGAAUAAUUACUGCUCCUUUGGAAAUUCAUAAUAAUUAGGACCCCUAGCCCCACCCCAACCCGCGCUGCUUUUUAAAGGCGCACAUCCUGCAGGGGGACUUGGGGGCCUCAGCCGUGCUCCCCGCAGGUGGGAGAUAGGGCGGGAAUCACUUUCCCCCACUUGGUUUUACUCUUUCGAGACAGUUGGUUCCCCUCCUCCUAUCUCAGUUUCCUUGUCUGUCAAAAGAGGCUUUUACAUUGUUAAAGACACUUACAGCUCUACCUCACUGGAUUCGCUUUUCUGUUUGGGAGGAGGGGUAGAUUUAACAAACUGAGGGAAGAGGGGCAGGGGAGGAGAAAGUGGAGAAAAAGAAGGAUUCUUCUUCUUGGGAACAAAUUCUGUGGCAAACACGUGACGCCGCAACCAGGGAGGGGGCGGGAGAAGGGGUGCUAAUGAGAGGACCGCAAGAAACCUCGGGGACCUAGCGAUCGGAGCUUCAGUUCAUUUCAGUUCAGUUCAGCUUAGUGCUCCCCAAAGAC
RNAcentral lists this long non-coding RNA (1221 nucleotides) under Capra hircus (goat). RNAcentral describes it as "lncRNA (ENSCHIG00010002486.1)". Lineage: Eukaryota; Metazoa; Chordata; Mammalia; Artiodactyla; Bovidae. The record is from RNAcentral.